This 177-nucleotide microRNA precursor is filed under the name Podarcis lilfordi (Lilford's wall lizard). The record is from RNAcentral. Lineage: Eukaryota; Metazoa; Chordata; Lepidosauria; Squamata; Lacertidae.
AACUAAAUUUAUUAUUGGUAUGAGCUUUCGUGUGCAUGCACACUUUUUCAGAUACAAGUCCACUGAAUACACUGUUUCAGAUACACUGAAACAGAAGUCCACUGAAACUUCUGUUUCAGAGUAUCUGAAGAAGUGUGCAUGCACACGAAAGCUCAUACCAAUAACAAACUUAGUUGG